UACGGGAGUGGCAAGCGUUAUCCGGAAUUAUUGGGCGUAAAGCGUCCGCAGGCGGUCUUGUAAGUCUGUUGUUAAAGCGUGGAGCUUAACUCCAUUUCAGCAAUGGAAACUGUAAGACUAGAGUGUGGUAGGGGCAGAGGGAAUUCCCGGUGUAGCGGUGAAAUGCGUAGAUAUCGGGAAGAACACCAGUGGCGAAGGCGCUCUGCUGGGCCAUAACUGACGCUCAUGGACGAAAGCCAGGGGAGCGAAAGGGAUUAGAUACCCCUGUAGUCCUGGCCGUAAACGAUGAACACUAGGUGUCGGGGGAAUCGACCCCCUCGGUGUCGUAGCCAACGCGUUAAGUGUUCCGCCUGGGGAGUACGCACGCAAGUGUGAAACUCAAAGGAAUUGACGGGGGCCCGCACAAGCGGUGGGGUAUGUGGUUUAAUUCGAUGCAACGCGAAGAACCUUACCAGGGUUUGACAUCCUGCGAAUCUUUUGGAAACAGAAGAGUGCCUUCGGGAACGCAGUGACAGGUGGUGCAUGGCUGUCGUCAGCUCGUGUCGUGAGAUGUUGGGUUAAGUCCCGCAACGAGCGCAACCCACGUCGUUAGUUGCCAGCAUUUAGUUGGGCACUCUAGCGAGACCGCCGGUGAUAAACCGGAGGAAGGUGUGGAUGACGUCAAGUCAUCAUGCCCCUUACAUCCUGGGCUACACACGUACUACAAUGCUACGGACAAAGGGCAGCAAACUCGCGAGAGCUAGCAAAUCCCAUAAACCGUGGCUCAGUUCAGAUCGUAGGCUGCAACUCGCCUACGUGAAGGAGGAAUCGCUAGUAAUCGCAGGUCAGCAUACUGCGGUGAAUACGUUCCCGGGCCU
Molecule: ribosomal RNA, 857 nt
Filed under: uncultured bacterium
Lineage: Bacteria
Description: SSU rRNA
Rfam family: Bacterial small subunit ribosomal RNA
Source: RNAcentral